Long non-coding RNA from Mangifera indica (mango), 570 nucleotides. RefSeq lists it as uncharacterized. The transcript is spliced from 5 exons. NCBI's taxonomy places the organism in Eukaryota, Viridiplantae, Streptophyta, Magnoliopsida, Sapindales, Anacardiaceae. The record is from RefSeq and is a predicted model, not a curated record.
CCUAUUGAUACCGCAAUACCAUCCCGUCACCCACACGAGGGUAGUGGCCUGGAGGACGCACCGGUUAGUCCUUCUGUUGCAUCGAUCGAGGGUUCUCUCCGAACACCUUCCCCGAAAGUUUAGGACGAGCGAUUAUGGUUACUUGCUGAUAUCCCGAGCUCGACCAAAAAAAUUGUGGAUAUUGGUUCACAGGAGGAGGACUUCCAGGAGGAUGAUUUUGAGGUCAUCCCUAUUGAGUCUGCCGAGGGAGCACGCGUGGUGGACUUGACCGUGUUUCAAGAUUCUCCAGCUAAACCUCCUCCCGCAUACGUGGAGAAGAUGAUUCGUAUAACACGUGGCCGGAUCGUCUGGAAGGGUCCGCUGGUUCACACCCCGUAUACGAAUCCACUCAAAGGGAGGGUGAAAUGGCAACCUACGGUCAUUCCAUCCUCUGCCUCUGAGCGUGAGGAAUCUUUCCUCACAUGGUACACCAGCGCUGCGGCUUCCGACUCACAUGAUGUCUACUUCAUCGGGUCGAAGUCAACGGACAGCUUCUGAAGGCUUGUUGUAGAGUUGCGCGAAUGGUUGACC